GAAUGUGAAGAUGUUGUUCCGACAACAUUGGAUUUUAUUCUAGUCCUAACCGAAGAGAAGGAUUAAUACAAGAUUUAUUAGUGGCCACCCAACGGUCGACUGACUCAACUCUCGAUUUCUGCACUCCACCCUCAUCACGUCGAGUCCUUUUCCCUUCUUUCUUCUUCUUCUUGUUUUGCUGCUUCCUGUUCUUCUUCGUUUCGCAUCCUCAAACCUCUCUCACUGAACUGAGAAAAGGGAAGGACGAAAAUGGUGGCUACUAAGCCGAAGAUAUCCUUCGAGGAAUGCCGUCGCAAGAGGCUGGAGGAGAACAAGAAGCGGAUGGAGGCUCUCAAUCUCCCUCAGCUCUCUCAAUCUCUCCGAAACUCCUCCUCUCCCAACUCCACCCCUAUGAAGCAGUCCAAGCCACGCACAGUAGAGAAGCAGAUGGUGGUGGUGAGGAGGUCCAGUCGCGUCGCGAACAUGCCCGCUCCUGUUUAUAGAGAGGUGGUGGUUGAUCGGGUGGCAGUGCCCAGAAGGAUUUAUAAGAGGAGGGAUCCGAUCAACCUGGUGUAUGCCUCUGCUGAGGCCAGGGAAUAUGCAAUAGAGAAGGCAGAGCAAUUGCAGUCCACUCUAGAACCUCACUAUCCCACCUUAGUCAAAUCCAUGCUCCCAUCUCAUGUCUCUGGUUGUUUUUGGCUGGGCCUUCCUGUCCACUUUUGCAAGACAAGCCUUCCUAAGAAUGACGGGGUCAUGACGUUGGUCAACGAAGAUGGUAAAGAAUUCCCGACAAUAUAUUUGGCGCGGAAGACAGGACUCAGCGGAGGGUGGAAAGGGUUCUCUGUGGCUCAUGAGCUAACUGAUGGAGAUGCUGUAGUUUUCCAGUUAAUUAAACCAACCGCAAUGAAGGUUUACAUCGUACGAGCGGAUGGCUUCGACAAGAGUGAGGAGCCCUAAGUAGAUUAGUAACAUGGUUGCUCUGCAAUCCCAUUUUGGAUAUAACCAUGGUUGCACGUUGCAUUGUAAGGUCGUCCUGCUACGAGAUUUUGCCGUUGGGUUGGUCCUGAAUUCGGUCACAGGAGGCGAAAUGUAACUUAAUCUAGAGAUAAGGCACCAAGCGGUUAAAUCAGCUAGUCAAUUCGUUGUGCAGUAGGUCUGUUUUUUGGCUUGUAAAUUGAGCAUACUAUUAGUAUUGCUCUGCUCGGCGGUUGUGUAGUCUAAAGUUUCGCAACUCAGCAGGACAUUGUCCAAGAAUUCAAUUGCAAUUCCCAGAAACAGUCAACCC
Molecule: RNA transcript, 1264 nt
Organism: Rhodamnia argentea
Lineage: Eukaryota; Viridiplantae; Streptophyta; Magnoliopsida; Myrtales; Myrtaceae
Gene name: B3 domain-containing protein At5g42700-like
Exons: 7
Source: RefSeq, a predicted model, not a curated record